GGCACCCUUUUCCCGUGAGUGUGGGUAUUGGCUUGCGGGUGUGACGGUUAUUUUUUCAUCAUUUUUAGGCAAUUUUUCAUUUAAAUGACGCUAUGCAUCCAUUCUAUUGAGUGCUGCCGUGUCUUUAUCAAGCGAAGCAGAAUAUAGGCUACGUGUUGUGAGAAUACAUUUCCAAUCUUCUGUCUCACUUGAAGAGAGGUCCCUGGAUAAAGGAUAUACCGGCGCAGCGGGACUGCAGUUACCCAUCGCCGCACCUCGCUGAGCAGAUGCGCGUCGUACGGCUUGCGUUUUACUUCACUUUGAGCCCCAGCUCUCUGUCUGUGUGUGGCAUUGCCUUGAGACGGCAGCUCCUUGUGCAAGAGAAAUGAACGUCUGAAGGUCUGUCUGCCAGGGACACCAUCAGCCUCUGUGCUGCCAGAACAGCCAGGAAAUCAUAAAUUAUGGUGAUGGGAGAAGGUUUUUAAUGGAAACCCCCUACAAGUUUAAGGUUACACAUUCAUUGUAGAAACUAAGUGGAAAUAUUAAUUAAUUAAUUAAUUUAUUUAUUUAUUUAUUUAUUUAUUUAUUUAUUUAAUGAAUGUAUUUAAUGUAUUUCAUUUGAACAUGAGACAAGGGAGUGGGCUUGAUGGGAAAAAAGCUCCCCUGAAUUCUGCAAAGUUUUGGACAUACAAGCCAUUUUGGGUGAGGAUAUGCACAUUGUAGAGAUGCACACUAUUAAUUGUCCCAGGCAAGAGCUUUAUUUCCUCAGAUACCCUUGAAAUGGUGACAGAGAAGUUGCUUUCCAUACUCUAUUCUCUCUAAACUCUAUUAUGUUGUGUUGAAUAGCGUUGCUAAAUAAUGCAUUCAAGAAUUCUUAUUCCUACCUAGGCUGCACAGCCUUGUUUGCCAUUGUUUGAGUUAGAAGAAUAUUUUUCUUGUGCAGUUUGUUGGACCUACAUAUAUCAGAAGGUAUUUUUUGUUGUGGUCUUCUGAAUUCAGGAAUAACAAAAUAUAUCUGUUAUAUGCUAACAAGCAAACAACACACAAAGGUGACAAGUGACUGUGCUGUAUUUCUUUAUACCAAUAGGUGCAAUAUGGAACAGUGCUCGUAAUAUCAACAACUCUGAAGUGAGUUCUGUCUAAAAUGUCUUGCAAGUUACCUGAUAAUGAAGCCCCACUGCCCAGACUGAAUUAAGGGCAACAUACUGAACUCGCUGACCUGAGCUUGCUAAAGCAGAGAUGCAGAGCAGGGGGGGUUCCUCUCUGCCAUGGAGUUACGGAGAGGUCAGACUGAGACGCAGAGUCUCCUCACUCGAGCUGAAAACACCAUCAACCCUUUUUGGAGGAGCCACCUGCACAGGAUCCGCAUCAGUGCGCUCAACAUGGGAUCAAGCCAUUAAAUUCGAAUGGAGGAACGCUACGCAACGCUAAGCCUGGCAUAGCGCACAGCUCAAACUUAAUGCCGAGCUGCGCCUCCAAUCACAUCACAGCUUUGCGUGAAGCUGGCAGAUGUAAACACGGAAAAAACAUUUUGGGAUAAGCCCAGGAUUUUCGGUUUCGCACCGCAAGUUCACAAUUUAGCCUUACACCGCAGACAACCUACUACUGUCAGCGCUUGUUACAGUUUUCCAAACCGACGGCUUUCCUGUAUGUGUGACGUCAAGCUUCAACAGCUUGAGGCACUCGAUUUGUCUCGUGCGUAGUCAGCGCCUUACUUGGCGUCAUCCGCAGCAUUUGAUUCUUGUUGUGUGAAAGCGGCUUUACAUAUCAAACACUCUGUCUGCAGGCUGCAACUCCAGUGCUUCUGAUCUCUCCAGGUGGAUGGCUGGAUGAUAGAUAUUAACAGCUCCCUGCUCCCCUCUCACAUCUCCCUGGGUCCAGCUGCUUGCCUGUCCGUCAGCUGUGGGACUUGCAUUUAGAGAGCCAUCUCUGCUCACUGGUCCGCGCUGAAACAAAAUGGCAAAUAACGACAUAAAAAUGCAGAUGAGCAGUUCCCCACUUUCAAGGUUCAGGAGUGCCGAGAGAUUAGGAGCCAAGCAGAGUGUACUGCGCUUGGAGUGAACCUGGAAUGACCACUGUCCGUGCAACGCAAUUAUUUAUUUUCUAGAGGCUAUUAAAAGCAAUCUAAUACAGUGACUAAUUUAAACUGAACGAGGAUUUUUGGAAUGGAACUGAAUGUUCCCUGUACUGUUUUAUUGCUUGCUGACAGUUUCAUUGUAAAACGCUCCAACAUGGCCUGGAGGUAAUGGAAUACAUUGGGACGUAAGGCUCCUCACCACUAUCCAUGUGUCCACUCAAACCUCAGGUGCUGCAGUGGGUCAAGCCUGCAGGGAAAUCAGCAUAUAUGCAUAUAUACGCACACCAGCCACUUUAUUAGGGUAUACCUCUCUAAUACAGGGUAGUACCCCACCUUUGCCCCCAGAAAAGCAUGAAUGUCUUGCUAAAUGGAUUCAACAAGGUCAUGGAAACAUUCCUUAGGGAGUUUUGUCCAUACUGCCUCAACGGCAUCACACAGUUCCUGCAGAUUUUUGGGCCACACAUUGAUGUGGCAAACCUCCCAUUCCACCUCAUCCCAAAGGUGUUCUAUUGCAUUGAGAUCUGUGCAGACCACUGGAGUAAACUGUCACUGUCAUGUUCAUGGAAUCAACUU
This is a long non-coding RNA of Anguilla rostrata (American eel), 2629 nucleotides long. RefSeq lists it as uncharacterized. The record is from RefSeq and is a predicted model, not a curated record. The transcript has 2 exons. NCBI's taxonomy places the organism in Eukaryota, Metazoa, Chordata, Actinopteri, Anguilliformes, Anguillidae.